GUGAGGAAUAUUGGUCAAUGGGCGAGAGCCUGAACCAGCCAAGUCGCGUGAAGGAAGAAGGAUCUAUGGUUCGUAAACUUCUUUUGCAGGGGAAUAAAGUGCAGGACGUGUCCUGUUUUGUAUGUACCCUGAGAAUAAGGAUCGGCUAACUCCGUGCCAGCAGCCGCGGUAAUACGGAGGAUCCGAGCGUUAUCCGGAUUUAUUGGGUUUAAAGGGUGCGUAGGUGGUUUGAUAAGUUAGCGGUGAAAGUUUGCAGCUUAACUGUAAAAAUGCCGUUGAAACUGUCGGACUUGAGUGUAAAUGAGGUAGGCGGAAUGCGUGGUGUAGCGGUGAAAUGCAUAGAUAUCACGCAGAACUCCGAUUGCGAAGGCAGCUUACUAAGCUACAACUGACACUGAAGCACGAAAGCGUGGGGAUCAAACAGGAUUAGAUACCCGGGUAGUCC
This 445-nucleotide ribosomal RNA is filed under the name uncultured bacterium. Its description in RNAcentral is "partial 16S ribosomal RNA". It matches the Rfam family "Bacterial small subunit ribosomal RNA", at positions 354 to 796 of the family's 1533-position model. The record is from RNAcentral.